This 81-nucleotide transfer RNA is filed under the name Acidilobales archaeon. Its description in RNAcentral is "tRNA-Ser". Lineage: Archaea; Thermoproteati; Thermoproteota; Thermoprotei; Acidilobales. The record is from RNAcentral.
UGCCGUAGUAAUCGUAGUCGGGGCGGCGGCCGAGGCGGGAGAACCCCCGUGACCGGGGUUCGAAUCCCCGCCCGGCUACCA